Molecule: non-coding RNA, 97 nt
Organism: Syncephalis plumigaleata
Lineage: Eukaryota; Fungi; Zoopagomycota; Zoopagomycetes; Zoopagales; Piptocephalidaceae
Source: the annotation of a GenBank genome assembly
GCUCCCGUAGCUCAGCUGGUUUAGAGCGCCGUGCUUAUAGGAUAUAAACUAUACCAAAGUCACGCGGAUGUCGCGAGUUCGAUCCUCGCCGGGAGCA